AUGGGGGGCUUUGGCCCCCCGCCCCCGCCAAAGAAUUGUGUCCAGCCCUGGGUGGUCCCAGGCGAGCCCCCUGACCCCUGCCCUUCCCGGGAGCCGCAGACGCCCCCCCACCCCCUGCCUCUGCCCGGGAGCUUCAGGGCCCGACCUCCAGGCUUGCCUCACCAGCGGUCAUCAGCCGACCCUCAGGGAUGUAGCGAACCACCGCUCUUCAGUGCUUUAGAAAGACCGGAGGGGCUGCGGGGCGGCCGCCAGCCAUCUGCCGACUCCUCCCGGGAGAAGCGCCUGGGAAUGAGGCCCGGGGCUCGCCCAGCCCAGGGUCCAAGUCCAGGUCCGGCGGUCCUCCAGGCCAAGCUAUCCGAGAAGACGCCCCCAGCUGCAGCCAGGUGUUGCCGCACGGCAGCCUUCCCAACACAUAGUAUGAAUGUUAAAAAUUUGUUUAUUUUUGUCUCUCAACCACUUUAUAAUGUAUUUUUAUUUAUUUUAAGUACUGCUGCUAUCCUUGUUAUCCUUCCCACAGUUUUUAUUGCUGAUUUAUUUUGUGAAAGUUGUACACUAAUGUUGUUUUAUGUCAAAAUCAAAAGUAUUUAAAGAAUACUAGUUCUAUUUAAUGUGGUUAUAGAACCAGCUGGAAACAAAAAACAGUGGUUGGACAGCAGGCUGGACCCCGGCGGUCAGGUUCAUUUUGUUACAUUUGCAAUAAACUCACGACUCUACAUUUUUGCCGUCUGUUGUUUGGUGUGCGAAAGAGUUUCCAGCUUUUUUUUUUUUUUAACAUGACAGGAAGUCAAUGGCAAGGGCCUUCCAAAGAAAGGGGCAAACUUACCACUCCAACAGCAGGAG
RNAcentral lists this long non-coding RNA (840 nucleotides) under Capra hircus (goat). Its description in RNAcentral is "lncRNA (ENSCHIG00010014313.1)". Lineage: Eukaryota; Metazoa; Chordata; Mammalia; Artiodactyla; Bovidae. The record is from RNAcentral.